This 788-nucleotide non-coding RNA is filed under the name Suillia bicolor. Lineage: Eukaryota; Metazoa; Arthropoda; Insecta; Diptera; Heleomyzidae. The record is from RNAcentral.
AUAAAGUUUUAUUUUGGCUUAAAAAUUUAUUAUUAGUUUAUUUUAUAUGUAAAUUUGUGUGUGAAUUGUUAUUUAUUUUAAAAGUAAAUAAUUUAUAUAAAUAGUCGCAGUAAUUAAUAUUAUUGAUUAAAGAAAUUUAGAAAUAGAAAUAUUAAAUAGUAUUGGUUUAAUUCGUGCCAGCAGCCGCGGUUAUACGAAUAAUGCAAAUAAAUUUUAUUAGUAAAAGUUAAAUUGUUUUAUAAAAAUAAUAUUAAAUUUAUUAGGUGAAAUUUUAAAUUUAUAAAUUUUUGUUAAUAAAAAUAAUUGAAGCUUAAAAAUUUUAGUAAUAAACUAGGAUUAGAUACCCUAUUAUUUAAAAUGUAUUAAUUUUACUAAGGUAGUAUUAGUUAUGUUCUUUAAACUUAAAAAAUUUGGCGGUAUUUUAGUCUAUUCAGAGGAACCUGUUCUAUAAUCGAUAAUCCACGAUGGACCUUGCUUAAGUUUGUUUUUCAGUUUAUAUACCGUCGUUAUCAGAAUAUUUUAUAAGAAUAAUAAUUUUCUAGAAUUUAUAUAAAAAUUUAUAUCAGAUCAAGGUGUAGCUUAUAUUUAAGUAGAAAUGGGUUACAAUAAAUUUAUUUAUAUGGAUAUAAUUAUGAAAAAAUUAUUGAAAGUGGAUUUGAUAGUAAAAUUAUAAAGAUUAAUAAUUUGAUUUUAGCUCUAAAAUAUGUACACAUCGCCCGUCGCUCUUAUUAUUAAGAUAAGAUAAGUCGUAACAUAGUAGAUGUACCGGAAGGUGUCUCUAGAAUGAC